This is a long non-coding RNA of Pan troglodytes (chimpanzee), 202 nucleotides long. RefSeq lists it as uncharacterized. The transcript has 3 exons. NCBI's taxonomy places the organism in Eukaryota, Metazoa, Chordata, Mammalia, Primates, Hominidae. The record is from RefSeq and is a predicted model, not a curated record.
CAUUUGCUCUCAUUGCCCUCCUGGCUCUCUCUCAUGUUAAUGCUUAGAUUCAGGGAGAAGCCCCUGAAGAGUUUCUUACAAUUACACUGCAUUGAGCCAGGGAAAGGCACUAUGAGUCUUGCUGUCGCCCAGGCUGGAGUACAUUGGUGCGAUCUCGACUCACUGCAAGCUCCACCUCCCGGGUUCACGCCAUCCUCCUGCU